UACGGAGGGUGCAAGCGUUAUCCGGAUUCACUGGGUUUAAAGGGUGCGUAGGUGGAGUGGUAAGUGAGUGGUGAAAUCUCCAAGCUUAACUUGGAAACUGCCGUUGAUACUAUCAUUCUUGAAUAUCGUGGAGGUAAGCGGAAUAUGUCAUGUAGCGGUGAAAUGCUUAGAUAUGACAUAGAACACCGAUUGCGAAGGCAGCUUGCUACACGAUCAUUGACACUGAGGCACGAAAGCGUGGGGAUCAAACAGG
RNAcentral lists this ribosomal RNA (253 nucleotides) under uncultured bacterium. RNAcentral describes it as "partial 16S ribosomal RNA". It matches the Rfam family "Bacterial small subunit ribosomal RNA", at positions 524 to 776 of the family's 1533-position model. The record is from RNAcentral.